This 75-nucleotide transfer RNA is filed under the name Staphylococcus aureus. RNAcentral's name for it is "tRNA-Asn(gtt)". It matches the Rfam family "tRNA". Rfam says of the family: Transfer RNA (tRNA) molecules are approximately 80 nucleotides in length. Their secondary structure includes four short double-helical elements and three loops (D, anti-codon, and T loops). The record is from RNAcentral. Lineage: Bacteria; Bacillati; Bacillota; Bacilli; Caryophanales; Staphylococcaceae.
UCCACAGUAGCUCAGUGGUAGAGCUAUCGGCUGUUAACCGAUCUGUCGUAGGUUCGAGUCCUACCUGUGGAGCCA